This is a long non-coding RNA of Lontra canadensis (Northern American river otter), 142 nucleotides long. RefSeq lists it as uncharacterized. The record is from RefSeq and is a predicted model, not a curated record. Lineage: Eukaryota; Metazoa; Chordata; Mammalia; Carnivora; Mustelidae. The transcript has 3 exons.
GUGCAGCUGCUGACAAAGGGGACGGAUAAAGCCACCCCAGUUAUGGCCUCUCAGGGAUCAAGCUCCUCCCACCAGCUAAUUUUUCACGCUUAUCUGUCCCUAUUGGGCAGCAUCCCCAGAGAGAGAGCACAAGCAGGGGAAG